Molecule: transfer RNA, 77 nt
Filed under: Yersinia enterocolitica
Lineage: Bacteria; Pseudomonadati; Pseudomonadota; Gammaproteobacteria; Enterobacterales; Yersiniaceae
Description: tRNA-Arg
Rfam family: tRNA
About the family: Transfer RNA (tRNA) molecules are approximately 80 nucleotides in length.
Source: RNAcentral
CGCCCGUAGCUCAGCUGGAUAGAGCGCUGCCCUCCGGAGGCAGAGGUCUCAGGUUCGAAUCCUGUCGGGCGCACCAU